GACCCAACAUUGGUGUUAAUUUGCUAAUCACUUAAUAAUAAUCUGCAUAGGGAAUGAUCACCCCGAGGAUCUUUAAUCAACAACCCGGGCCAGUGCUCCUCAUGAGUGUUGGUCCAAAAUGGACAGACUGCGGGGGCCACCACAGGGAAACUUGAGGUUUGGAUCCUAUAGGCUUUUCCAUCCGUCGUGUCCUGAGACUGGGAUACGCGGCUCUUAUCGGGGU
This 223-nucleotide long non-coding RNA is filed under the name Hordeum vulgare. Its description in RNAcentral is "long non-coding RNA (HVUL_LNC019519)". Lineage: Eukaryota; Viridiplantae; Streptophyta; Magnoliopsida; Poales; Poaceae. The record is from RNAcentral.